This 681-nucleotide long non-coding RNA is filed under the name Hordeum vulgare. RNAcentral's name for it is "long non-coding RNA (HVUL_LNC017641)". Lineage: Eukaryota; Viridiplantae; Streptophyta; Magnoliopsida; Poales; Poaceae. The record is from RNAcentral.
UCUCCACCCUUUCAAUGCAAUCGGACAAACAAGACAACCAGUUCUCCAGCAUAAAAGCCGGCUGGGUGGCCUGCCGAGUCCGCCGGAUACAAGCGACGCAGCUCAUUGCUCCACGUCCUGCGCCAAGCUCGAUGGAGCGAGGUGCCGCCAAGCCGGUGCUUGGUUCAGCAACUCGCCACUCCAAGUUAGCUCGAGAAGGAGUGAUGGGUCACUCCAGGCCGACAGGGCGGGGAGUAGGGCGGCCCGAGCAUUGUCGAUGUCGUCAAAGGCGUCGCGUCGUAUCGCGACUCCUGUGCCCACAGUCAACGCGUGCGUGACCAGAACUUCCUGAUAGAGAAAGAAGCCAGUUGCACGAAGAUCGAUGAUUCGGUGGCCGACAUGUCAGAGUCCGCUGCUAACAUCGAGAGAAAUUGGAACAUGGGAGGCCAUCACGGCUUGUAUCACAUGCCGGGCACUGUCGGUGCGCCGUCGCUUGUAGAUCCGAUGAUCUACCCGGUUCUCUAUCUUAGACCAAUGGCGCCCUGGUCUGGGCUCCACGGAAGCGGAGGAUCCCUCUUCCCCUCUGGCUGAAGCAUCCAGCGGUUCCCUUCCAAUGAGCGGUGGAAUUGGAGUGUAUCUGUGUCGUGGGAGUGGAGCUCCAUGGACCGUACGUGCACAUAGUGUUAUCUUUUAGUAAAAAUA